GCAUAUCAAUAAGCGGAGGAAAAGAAAAUAACAAUGAUUCCCUUAGUAACGGCGAGUGAAGGGGGAUAAGCUCAAAUUUUAAAUCUGCUAGGUCUUACCUAUCAGAGUUGUAAUUUGAAGAAGCGUUUUCCGCGUCUCGGUUGACCCAAAUCCUUUGGGAUAUGGUAUCAUGGAGGGUGAGAAUCCCGUUCGGUUGACCUUGUGACGCUUUACGAUACGUUUUCUAAGAGUCGAGUUGUUUGGGAUUGCAGCUCAAAAUGGGAGGUAAAUUUCUCCUAAGGCUAAAUAUUGGCGAGAGACCGAUAGCGAACAAGUACCGUGAGGGAAAGAUGAAAAGAACUUUGAAAAGAGAGUAAAAUAGUACGUGAAAUUGUUGAAAGGGAAACGAUUGAAGUCAGUCGUACCGACGGAAAAUCAGCUCUUUAGUGCGGACUUGUGGGCUUACGUGAGUUUUAACACCUCGCUGUUUGCAACGUUCGUGUUUUUUGGGUGUACUUUUUCGUAUGGUAGGCCAAUGUCAGUUUCGAUCGCUAUAAAAUGACCGGCGGAAUGUAGCUUCGAUCUUGUAUUGAAGUGUUAUAGCCUCUGGUAGAUGUGGUGAUCGGGACUGAGGAUUGCAACGAAUACCUUUUGGGCUAUCCGUCUGAUCUCUGAAGGUUGCUUAGGUGCCGAAAGCGUGCUUACGGUUAUUUAAGUUGACAGUCAAAAGGUUAGAACGUGAUUAUAUUCGUUAAGGAUGUUGACGUA
This 747-nucleotide ribosomal RNA is filed under the name uncultured Glomerales. Its description in RNAcentral is "LSU rRNA". It matches the Rfam family "Eukaryotic large subunit ribosomal RNA", at positions 38 to 633 of the family's 3401-position model. Lineage: Eukaryota; Fungi; Glomeromycota; Glomeromycetes; Glomerales; Glomeraceae. The record is from RNAcentral.